UCCUAGCCCAGGUCCGAUUGAAGAACUUCAAGGGGUGAAGAUUGUUAGAUUUUCUGGCCCAAUUUUCUAUGGCAAUGUUGAUGGUUUUAAAAAAUGUAUCAAAUCUACAGUUGGAUUUGAUGCCAUCAGAGUAUAUAACAAGAGGCUGAAAGCACUGAGGAGAAUACAGAAACUCAUCAAAAAAGGACAGUUAAAGGCAACAAAGAAUGGCAUCAUAAGUGAUGGUGGCUCAUUGAAUAAUGCUUUUGAAGCUGAUGAAGACAUUGAAGAUCCGAAAGAACUUGAUAUCCCAACCAAGGAAAUUGAGUUUCAAGUAGACUGGAACUCUGAGCUUCCAGUCAAAGUGAAUGUCCCCAAAGUGCCAAUCCAUAGUCUCGUGCUCGACUGUGGAGCUGUAUCUUUCCUGGAUGUCGUUGGAGUAAGGUCUUUGCGCAUGAUUGUUAAAGAAUUCCAAAGGAUUGAUGUGAAUGUAUAUUUCGCAUCACUUCAAGAUCAUGUUAUCAAGCAGAUGGAGAAGUGUGGUUUCUUUGAUGAUAACAAUAGAAAGGACACAUUAUUUUUGACUAUUCAUGAUGCCAUACUUUACCUACAGAACCAGGUUAAAGCCCAAGAAGGUCAAGAUUCCAUUUUAGAAAUGAUCACCCUCAUUCAAGAAUGCAAAGAUCCACUUGAAUUAAUGGAAGAAAAGAUGACUCAGGAAGAACUUGAUGUCCAGGAAGAGGCUAUGCGUAGUCUGGCUUCUUAAAGUGGACUGCAAGACAAAGUUCACCCACAGGUGACACCCUCUGCAAACAUUUUCAGCAUUGAUUAUUUCUUUGGAUUUGAAAUGCUCAUGCUUUGUCUGUUACAUUUUAAAAUCUUUGAGCUUUCUUAUGUCUUAGCCAUUGAAAAAGGAUUAGAUUAUUUUCAUACUUUAUUUAUAAAAUCAAUAGCUUACAUCUGAAGUAUGGAAAACAGUGAUGAGAAUUACCCAGGCAAAUUAGCAAGGUCCAAGAUCUUAUAAUGUUAUAAUCUGUGGCUGACCCCCCCAAAGGCAGAUUUGCUGUGUUCAUCAGGGUACUAGGGCAUCUCUGAUCAGUUGCAAGAAGUGUUAACUUGACAGCCUCCAUGGCUAGGUGAGCCAUGAAGGAUUUAUCACAGAAAAAAAAGGCCAGUUUUAAGAAUGCAAUUAGUUAAUGCUUAAUAAUGUUCAGCCAGAUGUGGUGGCAUCAGCCUAUAAUCUCAACACUACGGGACGCUGAGGUAGCAGGAUCUCAAAUUCAAGGCUAGCCUGGGCAAAUUAGUGACUUAGUGAGACCCUGUUUGAAAAUAAUGAAGUGUUGUUAUAUGGGACCAGAUAUAUAGCCAGAAUUCAGGGUCUCUUUGAGGCUAGAAAUGGUUAGCUGAAAAGCUAUAUAGAACUGGACUGUUACAUUUUUUAAAACACUGAUGCAGAAAAGUAAAACAGAUAAGGAAAUUCUCGUGGUUUAUAGAAAUACUUUCAAUAUGAUAAUCAUGCAUUACAAUGAAAAGAAAAUAUGAUGGACUAGCUUGAAAAUGCCAUUUAAAUUUAUCUUAGCCUACAGAAAUGAUCUUUGCAUGAAGGUAUAUAUAUAUAUAUAUA
Molecule: RNA transcript, 1603 nt
Organism: Octodon degus (degu)
Lineage: Eukaryota; Metazoa; Chordata; Mammalia; Rodentia; Octodontidae
Gene name: pendrin pseudogene
Exons: 1
Source: RefSeq, a predicted model, not a curated record